This is a long non-coding RNA of Bubalus bubalis (water buffalo), 4344 nucleotides long. RefSeq lists it as uncharacterized. The record is from RefSeq and is a predicted model, not a curated record. The transcript has 2 exons. Lineage: Eukaryota; Metazoa; Chordata; Mammalia; Artiodactyla; Bovidae.
GAAAUGGCAACCCACUCCAGUGUUAUUGCCUGGAGAAUCCCAGGGACGGCGGAGCCUGGUGGACUGCUGUCUAUGGGGUCGCACAGAGUCGGACACGACUGAAGCGACUUAGCAGCAGCAGGGAUUUUAACUUAGGACAUGAAUUGGAAUUGGACAUGGCCAGUUACCUGAAAGAGUUUGGUACAGGUCUGUGCAAUGGCAAAAUAAUCGGAGUCCCCUUGAGCUUCUGUUCCCAGCUAUGGAAAGGGACAGAGCAGUGAUGCAGUGUGCUGGAACAGCAACUAUAUGUAGUCUACAAAGUAGUAUAACAGAUGAGAGACAUUCUAAAAUGCCUACUCAAGUUGUCGAGUAAUGCAAAAACCACUAUUUAGGAUCUAGAACAGCCGUGCAUGACAUACAGCACCGCCGUGGACAUAAUAGUGGCCAAGAAUCCACUUCAUUGGCCGUAAAGUUCAGAUACGGGCCAGUGAAGAUGACACACUGGCAUCUCUACCCACCCUGUGACCCCCUGCUGCCAGGUUAGUUGAAAGGAUGAGUGGAUUGCUUCAACAACCAAGAUAGGGAAUUUCUGUACUUGUGGGCCCAGGAGGCUAACUCCAGCCUAGGAACUAUAACUGAACAUCCCAGGAACAGUUGUCCCAGUGCUUAUGCCGUGUUAACCCACAGGCAACUAGUCAACACCAUGUGAGUUCAACUGUUUACCCCCAAAGGGACCAUUGUCUACUACCGGUCAGGACAAUAACUCACUUUUGCCCUUGCCACAAUUUCUGCCCUCGGGAACGUAUUAUAAAAGAAAUGGCUCUGGAAUUGGCAGGUAAGUGCCCUGUGGUUUGGGUAAGUCCCCUGUGGGGAAUAGGAUGAGAAAGGGACAGAUUUCACCUGUCUUAUACCUGCCCCACCUGAGAGGAAAGCAGGCAUUUAGUGGAGGAAGGCACCAUUUAUUAUAUUAACCUUACAAUCUAUUCUGCCACCUUGCCUGUAUUUGGCACAGUCUGUGGGGACUGAGGGUAACUGGGCAGGAUGAGGGUAGAUUUGGCUAAUGGUCAUGAUCUCCCCUGUAUCGUGCCUGUUAAACAUCUUGGCGUUUCACCUGUUUGAGCAGAGGGAGCUGCUCACAGAUUGGGAGGUAUCAGUGACCUCUUUGCUGGGUCUACAGCAAGAUGUCCUCCCCGGGACUUCCAUGAAAAAUGGACCCAGUAAGUGCCUGGCUCCAAAUUUACCCACGUCUUACACUUUUGAUACUCUUCAGCUGCUGUUGUCUGUAUUGCACUUGUUUUAUUGGGUGGAGGUGCACCUCUACAUACCUGACCCCAGGAAUAUCACGUAAGAGGGGCAGACUUAAGGGGGUAAGGGUUGUGGAGUGUAUGGUCAGGUCACUCGAGACGGCUGCUCUUCUGCUGUCUGUACAUCCUCUGCUUGAUGAGUCCCUGCUGUGCCUACACUGUGUUGGAACAAAUGUGCUCGCCCUUGCCCCAGCCAGUGAGUGUUCUAAUCCUUGGGCCAGAAUGGCUCCACCUGCUAGUUUAUUAAAGGGAAACAUCUGCCCUGAUGAUGGUUGUUAACCUGAGGGGCUGUAAGGGAUGGGUCUCCGUUGCUGGUUUCCCUGGUAACUGAGCCAACGUGAGGUCAAUUCCCCCUGUAAAAGGUAGUCUCCAACCACCUUUUAAAAGGUGGUCUUGCCUCCUGCCCCGCCGCCCCCAGCGAAGACCGCCGCCAUCACUGUGUCCUGCUCGCCAGCUUGUUUGUCUGCCACAUGUGAUGGGUUGUUCCUCUAGGACUUUUCUUCAGUGAUCCAUAUCGGUGUGCAUUUUUGGGAAAGGAAGACCCUGGAGAUGACAGUGGAUUCUUCUCAGUGCAUCAGGAGGCAUACUGUGCUGAUCUGGCCCAUGUUUGUGACGUUAACCAUGAUCACUUGGUUAAGGUGGUGUCUGUCAGAUUUUUCCACUGUAAAAUCACUUCUUCUCCUUUGUAAUCAGAGGCAUCUUCAUACAUACUUCUAAAAGCUUCAUUGAGAUAUUAACAUAUAAAAUUCAUCCACCUCAAGGCAUAAUUCAGUGAUUCUUUUAUUUUGGUAAAUUUAGUUGUGCAGCCAUCAUCACAAUCUAAUUUUUUAAAAAAUUUCCAUUGUCACCACAAGACCCUCUGUCUCAUUUGCAGUAGAUUGCCAUUCGUACUCUCCACCCCAGGCAAAUCACUAAUCUACUUUCUGUAUCUAUAGAUUUGAUUUUGGGGGGUAUAUUUCCUUUAAAUGGAAUCAUACAACAUAUAGUCUGUGUCCGACUGGCUCCAUUUAAAUUUACUCUGGUUAGAGAACUAGAUCCUGCAUUCCAAAACUAAGACUGGAGUAGCCAAAUAAAACAUUUUUAAAAAAUAACUUUACUCACUUGUAUAAUAUUUAAGACUAUAUCUAUUGUGUUGAUCUUGAAUUUGAUCUCCAUGUUGUAGCAUAUAUCAGUGGCUUCUUUUUAUUACUGAAUAAUAUUCCAUUGUGAAUAUACUUAUAUUUUGCUUAAUGGAUACUGUUUCCAGUUUGGGGCAAUUAUGAAUAACAUUGCUGUGAACAUUUGGGGCAAGUCUUUGUGUGGGCAUAUAUUUUCAUAUUUCUUGGGUGAAAUACCUAGGAGUGGAGUUGCUAGGUUACAUGACAACUAACAUUUUUAGGAGACUGUCACACUAUUUUCCAACAUGGCUACGCCAUUUUACAUUCUAUAGUACCUGAUUAAAAUAAAUUGGUUAUAUUGAAAUUAUGAGUAUAAAUGUGAGAGGAAUUUCUGUAACCCCAGUAUGGGUUUCAAAUUAGCCAUGUAGCACAUAUUAGUUAUAAAAUGGACAAUCGGCCUUCUUGUUAACUAAUCAGAUUGCAUGCUUCGAUUAAUCCAGUCUUAGCCAUGCUUAUUGUAGAAAAGGAUGGUAUAAAGAUUUAUGGGCUAGAAAUAAUGGGGACAGCUGAAGUUUAAAUGGGAAAGAGCACAGGUGAAUUUCAGAGACAGAAGAGUGGCAUUAAGAGAAAUGUCUAAUUACAAGUUGUUUUAUGCUGGGUCUAUAAUUAGUGGAUUAGUUCCCUCGCAUGGGUAGUCCCUUGGUGCCCAUGGUAUAGCACGGCCUCUGACUGUACAUCUGUCUUUUAAAGUACACAACACAUUUUUGACAUUCAGUCUGGUCAUCUUACUAAUAAGAAAGUCCUAAAACAAAACUGAUUUUUUUUUUUUCUGGUUCAAACUAUGGGAGGUGGAUUACUGAACAUAGAAAUUAUAGUUCUGGUUAGGCUUCAUGUUAGAUUUAAACAUUUUACAAUCAUAGACCUGUAGUGCUGUAUACUCCCAUCCCCCCUUUUAUUAACCCAAUUUGUGUUUUACCGUAUUGGCCAAAGUCUACUAGAUUGGACUCUGUUCAAAUAAUAGAAAGAUAAGGGUGCAUGUGUUCAUGUUUUAAACACCUUAAUAUGGACCUAAGUACGAAAACUUAACUUUGCAGUGGAGAGUGUUAGCAGUGUUAGUAUCACAUACAAUUAUAUUAACUAUAACAUUUUCAAAAAGCAUGUCUUGACUUUUCACAUUUUCAAAAUAAAUGACUUAAAAAAAUUUUUUAUGGUAGAACAUCUUUUCAAAGGAAAAGUAUCCCUACCUAUCUGUGCAUGACUUUGCCAUUCUUACAUACAUUUACCUCAAUUUCUCAAGUACUGUGUAUUUUUAAUAAAAUGAUAUACUUUUAAGCUCCUAGUCACACAGUGCAUGUUUAUUAAAGUUGAUUUGGCAGAGAUUUUGCUUUCGGUUAGUCCAAGUAUAUUUAUAUUUUUAAAGACAACUAUGGGCAUACUUUUGGAGAAGGAAAUGGCAACCCACUCCAGUGUUCUUGCCUGGAGAAUCCCAUGGAUGGAGAAGCCUGGUAGGUUGUAGUCCAUGGGGUCGCACAGAGUCGGACAUGACUGAAGCGACUUAGUAGUAGUAGUAGUAUGGGCAUACUUUAUAUCUGACUAAUAACUAAUAGACUUUAUAAGCAGUUAGUUAUCUCAUGUUGUUUAGAAUGGUUUUCUUUACCUUGGCACUGGCAAUUUGAAUGGGUGAUUUUUUGUUGUUGUUGUUCAGGUGUCCUGUGCAUGUAGGAUAUUUAGCAGCAUCCUUGGCUUCUAACCACUAAUUGCCAAGGAUACUCUUUCCCCCUUCAUAUGUGACAUCUCCAAAUAUUGCCAGGUGUCCCCUGGUGAGCAAAAUUGCCCUAAGUUGAGAACCACAGAUUUUAAAAUAAAAACUACAUUUUCUUCCAUGAGGAAACUUCUUUCGUUUUUGUACAUAUAUUUGUUAUAAUUAAUCAAUCUCUCUGGACAAAUAAAGUCUUACAACAGAA